This 560-nucleotide ribosomal RNA is filed under the name Sporobolomyces pararoseus. Its description in RNAcentral is "eukaryotic LSU rRNA". The stretch from base 141 to 294 matches the Rfam family "5.8S ribosomal RNA". Lineage: Eukaryota; Fungi; Basidiomycota; Microbotryomycetes; Sporidiobolales; Sporidiobolaceae. The record is from RNAcentral.
UACAUGGUGUCCAUUUAACUUGGAACCCAAACUUCUCAAUUCUAACUUUGUGCAUCUGUAUUAAUGGCGAGCAACUCCGGUUGUGAGCCUUCACUUACAAAACACUAGUCUAUGAAUGUAAAAUUUUUAUAACAAAUAAAAACUUUCAACAACGGAUCUCUUGGCUCUCGCAUCGAUGAAGAACGCAGCGAAAUGCGAUACGUAAUGUGAAUUGCAGAAUUCAGUGAAUCAUCGAAUCUUUGAACGCAUCUUGCGCUCUCUGGUAUUCCGGAGAGCAUGUCUGUUUGAGUGUCAUGAAUUCUUCAACCCAAUCUUUUCUUGUAAUCGAUUGGUGUUUGGAUUCUGAGCGUUGCUGGCUUUAUUGCUCAGCUCGUUCGUAAUACAUUAGCAUCCCUAAUACAAGUUUGGAUUGACUUGGCGUAAUAGACUAUUCGCUAAGGAUUCGGUGGAAACAUCGAGCCAACUUCAUUAAGGAAGCUCCUAAUUUAAAAGUCUACCUUUUGAUUAGAUCUCAAAUCAGGCAGGAUUACCCGCUGAACUUAAGCAUAUCAAAGCGGGAA